RNAcentral lists this ribosomal RNA (468 nucleotides) under uncultured bacterium. Its description in RNAcentral is "partial 16S ribosomal RNA". It matches the Rfam family "Bacterial small subunit ribosomal RNA", at positions 28 to 507 of the family's 1533-position model. The record is from RNAcentral.
GACGAACGCUGGCGGCGUGCUUAACACAUGCAAGUCGAACGGAAAGGCCCUGCUUUUGUGGGGUGCUCGAGUGGCGAACGGGUGAGUAACACGUGAGUAACCUGCCCUUGACUUUGGGAUAACUUCAGGAAACUGGGGCUAAUACCGGAUAGGAGCUCCUGCUGCAUGGUGGGGGUUGGAAAGUUUCGGCGGUUGGGGAUGUACUCGCGGCUUAUCAGCUUGUUGGUGGGGUAGUGGCUUACCAAGGCUUUGACGGGUAGCCGGCCUGGGAGGGUGACCGGCCACAUUGGGACUGAGAUACGGACCAGACUCCUACGGGAGGCAGCAGUGGGGAAUAUUGCACAAUGGGCGGAAGCCUGAUGCAGCAACGCCGCGUGCGGGAUGACGGCCUUCGGGUUGUAAACCGCUUUCGCCUGUGACGAAGCGUGAGUGACGGUAAUGGGUAAAGAAGCACCGGCUAACUACGUG